AUUGAACGCUGGCGGAAUGCUUUACACAUGCAAGUCGAGCGGCAGCGCGGCCUUCGGGCUGGCGGCGAGCGGCGAACGGGUGAGUAAUGCAUCGGAACAUGCCCAGUCGUGGGGGAUAACACUUCGAAAGAAGUGCUAAUACCGCAUACGUCCUGAGGGGGAAAGCGGGGGAUCGCAAGACCUCGCGCGAUUGGAGUGGCCGAUGUCAGAUUAGCUAGUUGGUGGGGUAAAGGCCUACCAAGGCGACGAUCUGUAGCUGGUCUGAGAGGAUGAUCAGCCACACUGGGACUGAGACACGGCCCAGACUCCUACGGGAGGCAGCAGUGGGGAAUUUUGGACAAUGGGGGCAACCCUGAUCCAGCCAUUCCGCGUGAGUGAAGAAGGCCUUCGGGUUGUAAAGCUCUUCCGGCAGGAACGAAACGGUGGGCUCUAACAUAGUCCGCUAAUGACGGUACCUGAAGAAGAAGCACCGGCUAACUACGUG
RNAcentral lists this ribosomal RNA (484 nucleotides) under uncultured bacterium. Its description in RNAcentral is "partial 16S ribosomal RNA". It matches the Rfam family "Bacterial small subunit ribosomal RNA", at positions 29 to 507 of the family's 1533-position model. The record is from RNAcentral.